AAAUUGACGGGGGCCCGCACAAGCGGUGGAGUAUGUGGUUUAAUUCGACGCAACGCGCAGAACCUUACCAGGUCUUGACAUACCAUUGACAGGUGUAGAGAUACACUCUCCUUCGGGCAAUGGAUACAGGUGGUGCAUGGUUGUCGUCAGCUCGUGCCGUGAGGUGUUGGGUUAAGUCCCGCAACGAGCGCAACCCUCAUUGUUAGUUACUACCAUUCAGUUGAGGACUCUAAUGAGACUGCCAACGACAAGUUGGAGGAAGUGGGGAUGACGUCAAAUCAUCAUGCCCCUUAUGACCUGGGCUACACACGUGCUACAAUGGUUGGUACAACGAGUUGCGAGUCGGUGACGGCGAGCUAAUCUCUUAAAGCCAAUCUCAGUUCGGAUUGUAGGCUGUAACUCGCCUACAUGAAGUCGGAAUCGCUAGUAAUCGCGGAUCAGCACGCCGCGGUGAAUACGUUCCCGGGCCUU
Molecule: ribosomal RNA, 471 nt
Filed under: uncultured Streptococcus sp.
Lineage: Bacteria; Bacillati; Bacillota; Bacilli; Lactobacillales; Streptococcaceae
Description: bacterial SSU rRNA
Rfam family: Bacterial small subunit ribosomal RNA
Source: RNAcentral